RNAcentral lists this long non-coding RNA (964 nucleotides) under Gadus morhua (Atlantic cod). RNAcentral describes it as "lncRNA (ENSGMOG00000033869.1)". Lineage: Eukaryota; Metazoa; Chordata; Actinopteri; Gadiformes; Gadidae. The record is from RNAcentral.
AACAGAAUCGAGGCGUGAUCGCGUAAGGCUUUCUCGUCAACCACGUUGAAACUAUUUCAUACAUAUUCUUUGGCUUUUUACAUAAUCUAGCCACUAUUCUGCGUUAUAUCCAAGCAUAGUACAGUUUGACACAUUUGAUAGGACUACAUUGAUUAUCCUCCUCCUCCUCCUCCUCCUCCUCCUCCUCCUCCUCAUCCUCAUCCUCCUCCUCUCCCUCCCUCCCAGCUUCCUCCCUCCUCUCACUCCUCAUCUCGCUGUCUCGUGGAUGCGCUUCUCUUUUCUGGCGCGCUGGCUGGAACAGCCAUAGCUCUCUGUACACUUCUGUCUGACUGCCUUGUUUGGAGAAUGGCGCCUUCAUCAGAGACAGAGUUUACUGAAACUCAGCAAGAGGCCAACCGGCUCACAGACAGAGGAGGAUGAACAGCCAAUCAGACACAUGGAUAAAUCAUCAAGAUCCUCCACCCCGCGCUCACCCCUGCAUCCCCUCCUCUGCAUCGGCCGAGAUAUGGGGCAGCUUGUGAUGCCCAUGCAGCCCCCCCAGCCCCCCACACCACCACCACCCCAACCCACCCAACCGACCCCUGCCUCUCAACAAAAAUAUUGACGGUUAAUUUGGCUUUGAUAUAUUAUUGCAUUAAACACAUCACAUCCACUAAAGGGGAUAAGAACAUCCCAUAGCGUAGAUGCACUUGAAUGAAUGUGUCUUUACGUUCAACCUGUGGAGGCUGGGAGCGAGGCUUCAGAGGGAGAGGGAGAGACGCAGAGACGGAUGAGCUUCACACCGCAUGCUCAAUAUUUCUGCUUAUUUGUUUUUAAAUAGCUGGGAGUGCCUUGGGGAAGGUUUUAAAAGAGCAAGUUGACGUUUUUUUCUUCCCACACAUUUUUAAUCAAAGUGUUAGCAUUUACAUUUGAAUUUGCAUCGUGCAGUGGGAUGCUGGAUGCCAUAGGUGAGAUAUUAAAAAAA